Molecule: ribosomal RNA, 305 nt
Filed under: uncultured bacterium
Lineage: Bacteria
Description: bacterial SSU rRNA
Rfam family: Bacterial small subunit ribosomal RNA
Source: RNAcentral
UCCUACGGGGGGCAGCAGUGGGGGAUAUUGCACAAUGGGGGAAACCCUGAUGCAGCGACGCCGCGUGCGGGAUGGAGGCCUUCGGGUUGUAAACCGCUUUUGUUCAAGGGCAAGGCAGGCUUUCGGGCCUGUUGAGUGGAUUGUUCGAAUAAGCACCGGCUAACUACGUGCCGGCAGCCGCGGUAAUACGUAGGGUGCAAGCGUUAUCCGGAUUUAUUGGGCGUAAAGGGCUCGUAGGCGGUUCGUCGCGUCCGGUGUGAAAGUCCAUCGCUUAACGGUGGAUCCGCGCCGGGUACGGGCGGGCU